Molecule: ribosomal RNA, 1365 nt
Filed under: Kocuria rosea
Lineage: Bacteria; Bacillati; Actinomycetota; Actinomycetes; Micrococcales; Micrococcaceae
Also listed under: 1 other name
Description: bacterial SSU rRNA
Rfam family: Bacterial small subunit ribosomal RNA
Source: RNAcentral
CGAUGAUGCCCAGCUUGCUGGGCGGAUUAGUGGCGAACGGGUGAGUAAUACGUGAGUAACCUGCCCUUGACUCUGGGAUAAGCCUGGGAAACUGGGUCUAAUACUGGAUACUACCUCUUGCCGCAUGGUGGGUGGUGGAAAGGGUUUUACUGGUUUUGGAUGGGCUCACGGCCUAUCAGCUUGUUGGUGGGGUAAUGGCUCACCAAGGCGACGACGGGUAGCCGGCCUGAGAGGGUGACCGGCCACACUGGGACUGAGACACGGCCCAGACUCCUACGGGAGGCAGCAGUGGGGAAUAUUGCACAAUGGGCGGAAGCCUGAUGCAGCGACGCCGCGUGAGGGAUGACGGCCUUCGGGUUGUAAACCUCUUUCAGUAGGGAAGAAGCGAGAGUGACGGUACCUGCAGAAGAAGCGCCGGCUAACUACGUGCCAGCAGCCGCGGUAAUACGUAGGGCGCAAGCGUUGUCCGGAAUUAUUGGGCGUAAAGAGCUCGUAGGCGGUUUGUCGCGUCUGCUGUGAAAGCCCGGGGCUCAACCCCGGGUCUGCAGUGGGUACGGGCAGACUAGAGUGCAGUAGGGGAGACUGGAAUUCCUGGUGUAGCGGUGAAAUGCGCAGAUAUCAGGAGGAACACCGAUGGCGAAGGCAGGUCUCUGGGCUGUUACUGACGCUGAGGAGCGAAAGCAUGGGGAGCGAACAGGAUUAGAUACCCUGGUAGUCCAUGCCGUAAACGUUGGGCACUAGGUGUGGGGGACAUUCCACGUUUUCCGCGCCGUAGCUAACGCAUUAAGUGCCCCGCCUGGGGAGUACGGCCGCAAGGCUAAAACUCAAAGGAAUUGACGGGGGCCCGCACAAGCGGCGGAGCAUGCGGAUUAAUUCGAUGCAACGCGAAGAACCUUACCAAGGCUUGACAUUCACCGGACCGCCCCAGAGAUGGGGUUUCCCUUCGGGGCUGGUGGACAGGUGGUGCAUGGUUGUCGUCAGCUCGUGUCGUGAGAUGUUGGGUUAAGUCCCGCAACGAGCGCAACCCUCGUUCUAUGUUGCCAGCACGUGAUGGUGGGGACUCAUAGGAGACUGCCGGGGUCAACUCGGAGGAAGGUGGGGAUGACGUCAAAUCAUCAUGCCCCUUAUGUCUUGGGCUUCACGCAUGCUACAAUGGCCGGUACAAAGGGUUGCGAUACUGUGAGGUGGAGCUAAUCCCAAAAAGCCGGUCUCAGUUCGGAUUGAGGUCUGCAACUCGACCUCAUGAAGUCGGAGUCGCUAGUAAUCGCAGAUCAGCAACGCUGCGGUGAAUACGUUCCCGGGCCUUGUACACACCGCCCGUCAAGUCACGAAAGUUGGUAACACCCGAAGCCGGUGGCCUAACCC